AGGGUGUAUGAUUUUUGUUUCUGUGUCAUGCCGUAAGGUCAAAAGAGAGCAAGAGGAGAUAAAUAUGUAAGCUUUAGGGGAAAAUACAAAUUUUAUAGACAGAGAUGAAGCCGAUGAAAUGAUCUUAUGCGGUUGUGAUAACUUAUGGUAUACCUAGCUUGUUUUAUUUUGUUUUAAAAAAAAAUUAAAAAAGUCUUACAAAUCACCAGUCUCUUAGAAAAAGAAUACCAAAAUCAUACUUUUAAAUUCCUACCAAAAACUUCCAAAUCUUCCAAAUCCUUAUCAAAAUCUACAAAUUCUAUCCAAAUUCCACUACAUCUAAACUCCCAGAAUUUUCUCAAACUCUCAGUCCAAUAAGACCUCCUUUUCUUGUGAAGUCUUCUCUCUUAGUUUUAGUAAAUUUGACUAAGUUUUUGUUUUGUUGUGU
This 427-nucleotide long non-coding RNA is filed under the name Brassica napus (rape). RNAcentral describes it as "long non-coding RNA (BNAP_LNC015118)". The record is from RNAcentral. Lineage: Eukaryota; Viridiplantae; Streptophyta; Magnoliopsida; Brassicales; Brassicaceae.